CUGUUGUGCCUCUGAUUCUUUUAUCACUCUACAGCAGAGCAAAAAUAGGGUAAAAAAUGAUUUGGUUUCUCCUCUGUUUCUCCAUUCUCCAAGGGGUGCAAUUGAUCAAAUUGGAGGAGUCUGGAGGGGCUGUGAGAAGACCUGGAGAAUCGCUCCAUCUCUCCUGCCAAGCCUCUGGAUUCACCUUCAGCAACUACUACAUGGAGUGGGUGAGACAGGCUCCAGGGAAAGGACUGGAAUGGGUGGCCCGCAUAAGUACAGGAUCAUCUAGCACUUACUAUCCAAAUAAUGUGAAGGGACGCUUCAUCAUCUCCAGAGAUGAUUCCAAUAGUCUGUUGUAUUUGCAAAUGAACAACCUCAAGCCAGAAGACACAGCAAUUUAUUACUGUGCAAGAGACACAGAGAAAGGAAGUGAAUCUGAAGCCAAGCAAAAACUUUUUUCAGUUCCAGGAAAUUCUGUGCUCUGCUACAUUUCUUGGGUCUUAAAAAGAUAA
Crotalus tigris (Tiger rattlesnake) is the source of this 494-nucleotide non-coding RNA. The record is from the annotation of a RefSeq genome assembly. NCBI's taxonomy places the organism in Eukaryota, Metazoa, Chordata, Lepidosauria, Squamata, Viperidae.